This is a ribosomal RNA of Protopterus annectens (West African lungfish), 154 nucleotides long. RefSeq annotates it as 5.8S ribosomal RNA. Lineage: Eukaryota; Metazoa; Chordata; Ceratodontiformes; Protopteridae. The transcript has a single exon. The record is from RefSeq and is a predicted model, not a curated record.
UACUCUGAGCGGUGGAUCACUCGACUUGUGCGUCGAUGAAGAACGCAGAUAGCUGCAAGAACUAAUUUGAAUUGCAGGACACAUUGAUCAUCGACACUUUGAAUGCACUUUGUGGCCCCAGGUUACUCCUGGAGCUACACCUAUCUGAGGGUCA